GGGUCGUUAGCUUAGUCUGGUAGAGCAGUGGACUCUUAAUCCAUUGGCCAUAGGUUCGAAUCCUAUACGACCCACCA
Molecule: transfer RNA, 77 nt
Filed under: Aggregatibacter actinomycetemcomitans
Lineage: Bacteria; Pseudomonadati; Pseudomonadota; Gammaproteobacteria; Pasteurellales; Pasteurellaceae
Description: tRNA-Lys
Rfam family: tRNA
About the family: Transfer RNA (tRNA) molecules are approximately 80 nucleotides in length. Their secondary structure includes four short double-helical elements and three loops (D, anti-codon, and T loops). Further hydrogen bonds mediate the characteristic L-shaped molecular structure. tRNAs have two regions of fundamental functional importance: the anti-codon, which is responsible for specific mRNA codon recognition, and the 3' end, to which the tRNAs corresponding amino acid is attached (by aminoacyl-tRNA synthetases). tRNAs cope with the degeneracy of the genetic code in two manners: having more than one tRNA (with a specific anti-codon) for a particular amino acid; and 'wobble' base-pairing, i.e. permitting non-standard base-pairing at the 3rd anti-codon position.
Source: RNAcentral